Long non-coding RNA from Numida meleagris (helmeted guineafowl), 655 nucleotides. RefSeq lists it as uncharacterized. NCBI's taxonomy places the organism in Eukaryota, Metazoa, Chordata, Aves, Galliformes, Numididae. The record is from RefSeq and is a predicted model, not a curated record. The transcript has 4 exons.
UGCAUUGCCUACUUCUAUAUUUGAGCAUGCUAACUGGUAUGCUGGUCUGUUUACUGUCAUAGUACUGACAUAAUGAGAAUGGGUAUUUGACCUCAGAGGAUAUCUUGUGUUGCAGAGAUGGGAUCACUGUUCGUCACCUACAAUGAUCUUCAGGGUACCUGUGGAAUGCCUCUCAAAAUGUUUUGAAGAGUACAUCAAUCAGAACAGAGUAAGACUCAACUCAAGCAUUUUUAGAUGUAAUUUACAUUCAGAAUGUGGAAGACUGAUGCAUUUCUAGUCUUGGAAGAAAUGAUGAAAAACCAAAAAGUAAAGGGAAUGUGAAACUCAAUUUAUGCUGGAAACUGAAAAUGACAGGGUCUUUUUGGAUGGUGGUUGGCAGCCGACAGCUCCUUCUGAAACAGAUUUUUCCAUCUCCCUUGGAAAUCCCUUUACAAGGCUGUGCGUUUUUAUUAAGAAGAGCAAAGGUGCAGAGUGAGGAAGAGUGUGAAGAGGGACUUGAGGAAUUUCCAUUAGCACAUCCCAAAAUUGCUUUGAGAGACCAGAAGCUGCUCAGAAGCACCAGUUCUCUUCUGCACAAACAGAAUUGAAACUCAGCUGCUGCCAGACUAAUAAAAUCUGUUAAUCAAAUAACAGCGAAUAUUAAAAGAAAACCCCC